GUCUAUGGCCAUACCACCCUGAACACACCUGAUCUCAGAAGUUAAGCAGGGUUGAGCCUGGUUAGGACUUGAAUGGGAGACUGCCUGAAAAUAUCAGGCACUGUAGGUU
RNAcentral lists this ribosomal RNA (109 nucleotides) under Pongo abelii (Sumatran orangutan). The record is from RNAcentral. Lineage: Eukaryota; Metazoa; Chordata; Mammalia; Primates; Hominidae.